Long non-coding RNA from Oxyura jamaicensis (ruddy duck), 1326 nucleotides. RefSeq lists it as uncharacterized. The transcript is spliced from 4 exons. NCBI's taxonomy places the organism in Eukaryota, Metazoa, Chordata, Aves, Anseriformes, Anatidae. The record is from RefSeq and is a predicted model, not a curated record.
UUACUCUGGACCUCAAUCUUCAGUCCGUGACUGCACAAUGUACCUGUGUGGACAUUGCUAGCAAAAUACUAAUGUGGCAACACCUGGUGGUCCUGCUUGUCUUCCAAAGAUACAUUUCUGCAGUUUCUCAACACAAACCAUUUGUCUCUGGGCAGGAUUUCAAGAAUGUUAACCCUGUGUGUGCUCCUGUGGGGUACACAGCACCUCCUGUGGGAACAACACUUACUGGAGACCUGUGCAGUGAAGGAGGCUGCCUUGAGGUGUGGACCUUGCAGACAGCUGGAACUAUAACCCAGUCCUUUGCUCCAGAGCACAUUGCUGGAGGACUCUCAGGUGGGAUGAAGAGCAGGUCGCUGACUCCACCUUAUGCUUACACAGGAGGAAGGAAAAGCCUGCUGUUUGUCUUGGCUUGCGAAGUUGCUUGUGGACAGCUCUGUGCUGCGUCGGCAGUGUCACACAGUCAAUGGGCUUUCCACCAAGAAGGUCAAGUUUGAAUGGGGCAGGCCAGAGACCGCUGUUCCCAGAGAAGAAUGUGCCCAAAAGAGAAGAGCUGCUCACUUGGGAAGAACUGCCUUUUGCAGUGGCUGACAGGUAGGUGGUUUCUGUCAUCCGCGCAUGCAAAGCAGGGGCUCGAGCUGUUUUUACCAUUGUAGUAGCUGUAUGUCGGCUUCAUGCUUCUUCACUGUCACUGAUACACUUACCUCUACAGUUUUGCUUUUCUUUUCUUUAAGUCACAGAGACCAUUUGUGUCCCAAGGCCCAAACCAUUCCGUCUUUUGCCCCAUGUAGAAGGACAGCUGUAUGGAGCUGACUGUGACUCCCAUAUUACAAAUGAAUUGCGUAAAAAGCGCUGACCAGAGUCCAUUUCCUGGUUCAUGGCUCAAGUUCCACAUCUCCAGACCUUUCUGUAAGAGGCUAUGAGCACUCAAAGAACUAAGCAGUUGCUGAAGCCUCAUUUCCUAUUUCAACCUGCACUGAGAGAACUACACUAAGAUGUCACCCCCCUCUGCAGGCCCAGCUCACUCUGUAGCUGGACAUGCCCCUCAGCUGUGGCAGCGUGCUAGAACUAGUGAUGCACAGACCAGAAUACCUGGGAAGGGAAGAGGUGCAUGGGAUUCCUGCACUUGUCUGAAGGGUCCAAGAGACCUGACCUGCUUCCCAAUUAAAGAUGGUACAAGACUUAAGGGUUAAAUUUAGACGUGUUUCUAUCCCCGUUCCUGGGGAAGAGUUUGCAUUCCUGGUGUAGAGAUUAAUAAAUGUUAAUUACUGCCUGGUUCAGAUCCCAUCUUAUUUCAGAAGCAAACAUUUCCAAGUCUAUUACCUUCAA